UCCCGCUGGACAGAACUAGGGGAAAGAGGGAAAAGGGACAUGCUUUUUUCCCAUCUCUCUGUCUGUAUCUCUAUCUCAAUAAAUUAUCCUUAUGAUCGAAGCUCUCUCAAGAAAAAAAAGCAAUGGUUAAACAGGAAGAAGUGACCUGCAGGGUGGAACGCCUAUCAGGCAGGCUGUAGAUAGAUCAAUGAAGGGGGGCCAUGUGCUGCUCUACAGUCAGAGAGAUAGGGUGGGAUUUCACAGGCGAGCAGCACAUGCUCUCACCACUCUGAGAGCUGAAAGACAUAUAGUGCACAUGUGUGGAUGCGUGUGUGUUUGCAGUAGAAAGCCCUGGCGUCUUGGGACUAUCGCUUUUGAGGAAAAAACAAGUAUUCAGGGGUGUCAACGGACCCGAGCUGUGACUCUAAAGAAGAGACGGCGAGUGGGACAUACACAUCGGACGCUCUGACAAUGCCGGCUCAGGUUCCUGUGAGUUUGCCAUGGCGACCAGUGGGCCCUGACAGCAGCGGGGAUCAUGGUCUUGCAGAGGAAGGGUGUGUGUGUAGUUGAGGGGGUUUGGGGUUAUUGGGGGACACACGCCAGAUGCCUUGGGGAGACGCCCUUCAGCUCACCAGCUGGGAGAGGCUAAACUGCCCCUCACGUGAUUGUUUUUGGACUUUAACGGAUUUUAGUGUUUGUUUAUGGUACACUUCGGCUAUCAUAAAGUCACAAACACAAAAAAAGAUCAUAUAAAACAGACCUUAAUUGGUUUUACAUUGGACAUUAUGUGGCAGUG
This is a long non-coding RNA of Cyprinus carpio carpio, 775 nucleotides long. Lineage: Eukaryota; Metazoa; Chordata; Actinopteri; Cypriniformes; Cyprinidae. The record is from Ensembl.